Molecule: long non-coding RNA, 248 nt
Filed under: Calidris pugnax (ruff)
Lineage: Eukaryota; Metazoa; Chordata; Aves; Charadriiformes; Scolopacidae
Description: lncRNA (ENSCPUG00000005914.1)
Source: RNAcentral
AGAAAAGGANNNNNNNNNNAUGAUUCUGCUGUUUAUGGUUUCUUUUGGCUACAAGUAAUUCUGUGUCUGUUAAAUAGCCGAUAGGGCCUUCCCACUGAUAGGAGCGUAUUCCAGCACGGAGCCGAAGCCACAGGCAGGAGGAUGACAAACAGGAGGCAUACCAGGACCUGACAGGCUCGUUUUUGUCUUUCUCACACAGUAGUGCCAGUAAGAGAGAUCCCACCAGCCAAGUGCCACUUCGAGCCUCC